GAGCCGUACGCAAGGAUGAGGAGAACCCGGUUGAAGCUUGGAGCAACGUCGACGUCGCGUCGCGGAGCCGUUCGAGCGCGCGCGUGUUACCGUAGCAUCGCGAGGAGGCCGGGCGAGGGAGUGUUUUCGUCGUUCUCGACGCCGAGCCGGAAUUGGAGUCGCUGGUUGAGGAUCUUGUCGUCGACUGUUAGUAUUUCAGCUCGUACGCGACGUAGGAGCAUCGGAUUUCGACGAGAUUUGGUUCGUUGGAACCGGGACUUCGAGACGAAUCCAUAGGAUCCUUACUCGCCCGAUUUGGAGAAGCAUCGACCCGCCGUGUUUUACCUAGUUCUCUGUGUAGGAGUGUCGAAACGCGACGAAAUUUGACGUGCUAGAUUCGCGACUUCGAGACGAAGAUUCUGAGCCCAAGAUCGCGAUUUUUGGAGCAGGUUCCAGCGUCGACGUUUCGUAUUCUGGCCCGUUCUCUGCGUAGGAGCGUCGGAAUUCAGCGAAACCUGGGCCAUUGGAUUCGUGACUUCGAGACGAAGCUUCAGGACCCUUGUUUGCUGAAUUUGGAUAAGGUUAGCUUGGUCGGAUUUAACGCUUUCUUCGCUGCCAGGAGUUGCUUGAGAGGUGGGUUACAUCGGUUUUUACUCCUAAGUUCAUAUUCGUCGGCAUGUAUAAUUUUCGACCUUUGGAUACUCUAUUCUAGCUCGAAUUCAUGGAUUAUAUUGUAGAUUGCAAAUCUGAAUUUGGAGCAUGUGGUAAUAAAUUAAGUAGGUUAUACA
Molecule: long non-coding RNA, 767 nt
Organism: Ananas comosus (pineapple)
Lineage: Eukaryota; Viridiplantae; Streptophyta; Magnoliopsida; Poales; Bromeliaceae
Exons: 4
Source: RefSeq, a predicted model, not a curated record